This is a long non-coding RNA of Neopelma chrysocephalum (saffron-crested tyrant-manakin), 607 nucleotides long. RefSeq lists it as uncharacterized. The record is from RefSeq and is a predicted model, not a curated record. The transcript is spliced from 4 exons. NCBI's taxonomy places the organism in Eukaryota, Metazoa, Chordata, Aves, Passeriformes, Pipridae.
GCUCGAUUGAGGGCAUCGCGUGUGCGCUGUCCCCGGAGCGGAACGGCAGAGUCAAAACUGGGUUGGGAAGGUCCAACGUGUGACCCAACACCACCUUGUCCACCAGACCAAGGCACUGACUGCCACGGCCAGUCGUGCCUUAAACACCUCCAGGGACGGUGACUUCACCACCACCCCGGGCAGCCCAUUCCAAUGUCUGAUCACCCCUUCUGUGAAGAAAUUCUUCCUAAUGUCCAGGCGCAGCUUUAGCCUGUGUCCUCUCAUGCUGUCACGAGUUCCCCGGGAGCAGAGCCCGACCUCCACCUGGCUACAGCCUCCUUUCAGGUUCAAUUUCUCAUGGAAAGCUCAGGGCUGAGAGGCAGAAAGUGCUUUGUGGGAGAUGGAGGCUCUUGUAACUCCUUUUUGGAGACUGGAGAGUCCACGAGCUGCUUGUCCCAGAAUGAAAUAGGCUGGUGUAUGGAUUAUUUUUUGAAAAAAAACUUGUCUCCCCAAAGUGCCUCUGCAUAGGUGAGGUGAAUGAAGUCGUAGAGUUGCGUGGCAUUGGCAGCAUUCCCCAAAAUCCUGGAGAGCUCGUCCUUGGACAGCGUCACCAGCUCUGCGAUGCUCC